This 253-nucleotide ribosomal RNA is filed under the name uncultured bacterium. RNAcentral's name for it is "partial 16S ribosomal RNA". It matches the Rfam family "Bacterial small subunit ribosomal RNA", at positions 524 to 776 of the family's 1533-position model. The record is from RNAcentral.
UACGUAGGGGGCAAGCGUUGUCCGGAUUUAUUGGGCGUAAAGCGCUCGCAGGUGGCCCGAUGCGUCGUGCGUGAAAGACCCCGGCUCAACUGGGGAGUGUCGUGCGAUACGGUCGGGCUGGAGGCCAGUAGGGGGAUGCGGAAUUCCGGGUGUAGUGGUGGAAUGCGUAGAGAUCCGGAGGAACACCAGCGGCGAAGGCGGCAUCCUGGACUGGUCCUGACGCUGAGGCGCGAAAGCUAGGGGAGCAAACGGG